RNAcentral lists this transfer RNA (72 nucleotides) under Klebsiella michiganensis. RNAcentral describes it as "tRNA-Ile". The record is from RNAcentral. Lineage: Bacteria; Pseudomonadati; Pseudomonadota; Gammaproteobacteria; Enterobacterales; Enterobacteriaceae.
UGCUCUUUAACAAUUUAUCAGACACCCCUGAUAAGGGUGAGGUCGGUGGUUCAAGUCCACUCAGGCCUACCA